GACGAACGCUGGCGGCGUGCCUAAUACAUGCAAGUAGAACGCUGAAGAGAGGAGCCUGCUCUUCUUGGAUGAGUUGCGAACGGGUGAGUAACGCGUAGGUAACCUGCCUUGUAGCGGGGGAUAACUAUUGGAAACGAUAGCUAAUACCGCAUAACAAUGAAUGACACAUGUCAUUUAUUUGAAAGGGGCAAUUGCUCCACUACAAGAUGGACCUGCGUUGUAUUAGCUAGUAGGUGAGGUAACGGCUCACCUAGGCGACGAUACAUAGCCGACCUGAGAGGGUGAUCGGCCACACUGGGACUGAGACACGGCCCAGACUCCUACGGGAGGCAGCAGUAGGGAAUCUUCGGCAAUGGGGGCAACCCUGACCGAGCAACGCCGCGUGAGUGAAGAAGGUUUUCGGAUCGUAAAGCUCUGUUGUAAGUCAAGAACGAGUGUGAGAGUGGAAAGUUCACACUGUGACGGUAGCUUACCAGAAAGGGACGGCUAACUACGUGCCAGCAGCCGCGGUAAUACGUAGGUCCCGAGCGUUGUCCGGAUUUUUUGGGCGUAAAGCGAGCGCAGGCGGUUUGAUAAACUGAAUUAAAAGCUGUUGCUCCACCUUAUCUGCGUGUGAAAUUCUCACUGAGUGCUGAGGGGAUAGUGUUAUCAUUUGUUCUGUU
RNAcentral lists this ribosomal RNA (662 nucleotides) under uncultured Streptococcus sp. RNAcentral describes it as "bacterial SSU rRNA". It matches the Rfam family "Bacterial small subunit ribosomal RNA", at positions 28 to 680 of the family's 1533-position model. The record is from RNAcentral. Lineage: Bacteria; Bacillati; Bacillota; Bacilli; Lactobacillales; Streptococcaceae.